This 178-nucleotide ribosomal RNA is filed under the name uncultured bacterium. RNAcentral's name for it is "partial 16S ribosomal RNA". It matches the Rfam family "Bacterial small subunit ribosomal RNA", at positions 1325 to 1500 of the family's 1533-position model. The record is from RNAcentral.
GCUGGAGUUACUAGUAAUCGCAGAUCAGAAUGCUGCGGUGAAUGCGUUCCCGGGUCUUGUACACACCGCCCGUCACACCACGGAAGUUGGGGGCGCCCGAAGCCACUUAGCUAACCCUUUUGGGAAGCGAGUGUCGAAGGUGAAAUCAAUAACUGGGGUGAAGUCGUAACAAGGUAUC